This is a long non-coding RNA of Ananas comosus (pineapple), 162 nucleotides long. RefSeq lists it as uncharacterized. NCBI's taxonomy places the organism in Eukaryota, Viridiplantae, Streptophyta, Magnoliopsida, Poales, Bromeliaceae. The record is from RefSeq and is a predicted model, not a curated record. The transcript has 3 exons.
GAUCGCGAUCGAGCCUUGGAUCGUCUUCGACUGCCUUGUGAGGACUCUUGGAGGUUACACUUGAGGUUUGAGACCUAGUGGAGCUGAUCUUUGGAACUUCUUGUGACUAUUGGAGCUUAGUACUAGAGCCAUCUGCAGGAGAGGCUAAGGAUCGUGGCAAGG